GAUGAACGCUGGCGGCGUGCUUAACACAUGCAAGUCGAACGAAGCACCUCUCCCGAAGAUUGACACAGCUUGCUGUAGAUUGAUUCAUUUGAGGUGACUGAGUGGCGGACGGGUGAGUAACGCGUGGGUAACCUGCCUCAUAGAGGGGGACAACAGUUGGAAACGACUACUAAUACCGCAUAGUAAGAAGAAUUCGCAUGUUUUCUUCUUGAAAGAUUUAUCGCUAUGAGAUGGACCCGCGUCUGAUUAGCUAGUUGGUAAGGUAACGGCUUACCAAGGCGACGAUCAGUAGCCGGCUUGAGAGAGUGAACGGCCACAUUGGGACUGAGACACGGCCCAAACUCCUACGGGAGGCAGCAGUGGGGAAUAUUGCACAAUGGGGGAAACCCUGAUGCAGCGACGCCGCGUGAGUGAAGAAGUAUUUCGGUAUGUAAAGCUCUAUCAGCAGGGAAGAUAAUGACGGUACCUGACUAAGAAGCCCCGGCUAACUACGUG
Molecule: ribosomal RNA, 495 nt
Filed under: uncultured bacterium
Lineage: Bacteria
Description: partial 16S ribosomal RNA
Rfam family: Bacterial small subunit ribosomal RNA
Source: RNAcentral